Molecule: ribosomal RNA, 988 nt
Filed under: uncultured archaeon
Lineage: Archaea
Description: bacterial SSU rRNA
Rfam family: Archaeal small subunit ribosomal RNA
Source: RNAcentral
CGUAAGGUGGUGUACGAAUAAGGGCUGGGCAAGACCGGUGCCAGCCGCCGCGGUAAUACCGGCAGCCCGAGUGAUGGCCGAAAUUAUUGGGCCUAAAGCGUUCGUAGCUGGCCGGACAAGUCCGUUGGGAAAUCCGCGCGCUUAACGCGCGGGCGUCCAGCGGAAACUGUUCGGCUUGGGACCGGAAGACCUGAGGGGUACGUCCGGGGUAGGAGUGAAAUCCUGUAAUCCUGGACGGACCACCGGUGGCGAAAGCGCCUCAGGAGGACGGAUCCGACAGUGAGGAACGAAAGCUAGGGUCUCGAACCGGAUUAGAUACCCGGGUAGUCCUAGCUGUAAACGAUGCCCGCUAGGUGUGGCGCAGGCUACGGGCCUGCGCUGUGCCGUAGGGAAGCCGAGAAGCGGGCCGCCUGGGAAGUACGUCUGCAAGGAUGAAACUUAAAGGAAUUGGCGGGGGAGCACUACAACCGGAGGAGCCUGCGGUUUAAUUGGACUCAACGCCGGACAUCUCACCAGCUCCGACAGUAGUAAUGACGGUCAGGUUGAUGACCUUACCCGACGCUACUGAGAGGAGGUGCAUGGCCGCCGUCAGCUCGUACCGUGAGGCGUCCUGUUAAGUCAGGCAACGAGCGAGACCCGCACUCCUAAUUGCCAGCAGUACCCUUUGGGUAGCUGGGUACAUUAGGGGGACUGCCGCUGCCAAAGCGGAGGAAGGAACGGGCAACGGUAGGUCAGUAUGCCCCGAAUGAGCUGGGCAACACGCGGGCUACAAUGGUCGAGACAAUGGGAUGCAACUCCGAGAGGAGGCGCUAAUCUCCGAAACUCGAUCGUAGUUCGGAUUGAGGGCUGAAACUCGCCCUCAUGAAGCUGGAUUCGGUAGUAAUCGCGUGUCAGAAGCGCGCGGUGAAUACGUCCCUGCUCCUUGCACACACCGCCCGUCAAAGCACCCGAGUGGGGUUCGGAUGAGGCCGGCAUGCGCCGGUCGAUC